This 463-nucleotide ribosomal RNA is filed under the name uncultured Myxococcales bacterium. Its description in RNAcentral is "partial 16S ribosomal RNA". It matches the Rfam family "Bacterial small subunit ribosomal RNA", at positions 338 to 794 of the family's 1533-position model. The record is from RNAcentral. Lineage: Bacteria; Pseudomonadati; Myxococcota; Myxococcia; Myxococcales.
CCUACGGGAGGCAGCAGUGGGGAAUCUUGCGCAAUGGGCGAAAGCCUGACGCAGCGACGCCGCGUGGGUGAUGAAGGCCUUCGGGUUGUAAAGCCCUGUGGGGAGGGAAGAAUAGGCGGCGGCCAAUACCCGCCGCGAUGACGGUACCUCCUUAGCAAGCACCGGCUAACUCUGUGCCAGCAGCCGCGGUAAGACAGAGGGUGCGAACGUUGUUCGGAAUUACUGGGCGUAAAGCGCGUGUAGGCGGUCAUGCAAGUCGGGGGGAAAAUCCCUGGGCUCAACCGAGGAAGUGCGCCCGAAACUGCGCGACUUGAGUUCCGGAGAGGAUGGUGGAAUUCUCGGUGUAGAGGUGAAAUUCGUAGAUAUCGAGAGGAACACCGGUGGCGAAGGCGGCCAUCUGGACGGAAACUGACGCUGAGACGCGAAAGCGUGGGUAGCAAACAGGAUUAGAUACCCCUGUAGU